Molecule: ribosomal RNA, 253 nt
Filed under: uncultured bacterium
Lineage: Bacteria
Description: partial 16S ribosomal RNA
Rfam family: Bacterial small subunit ribosomal RNA
Source: RNAcentral
UACGAAGGGGACUAGCGUUGUUCGGAAUCACUGGGCGUAAAGCGCACGUAGGCGGAUGUGUCAGUCAGGGGUGAAAUCCCGGGGCUCAACCUCGGAACUGCCUUUGAUACAGCACGUCUCGAGUCCGGAAGAGGUGGGUGGAAUUCCUAGUGUAGAGGUGAAAUUCGUAGAUAUUAGGAAGAACACCGGUGGCGAAGGCGGCCCACUGGUCCGGUACUGACGCUGAGACGCGAAAGCGUGGGGAGCAAACAGG